GCUGAAAUAGCUCAGUUUGGAGAGCGUUAGAUUGAAGAUCUAAAGGUCACUGGGUUCAUCCUGGGUUUAGGCA
Molecule: transfer RNA, 73 nt
Filed under: Danio rerio (zebrafish)
Lineage: Eukaryota; Metazoa; Chordata; Actinopteri; Cypriniformes; Danionidae
Rfam family: tRNA
About the family: Transfer RNA (tRNA) molecules are approximately 80 nucleotides in length. Their secondary structure includes four short double-helical elements and three loops (D, anti-codon, and T loops).
Source: Rfam by way of RNAcentral